Long non-coding RNA from Melanotaenia boesemani (Boeseman's rainbowfish), 1379 nucleotides. RefSeq lists it as uncharacterized. The transcript is spliced from 6 exons. The record is from RefSeq and is a predicted model, not a curated record. NCBI's taxonomy places the organism in Eukaryota, Metazoa, Chordata, Actinopteri, Atheriniformes, Melanotaeniidae.
ACAGAGAGAGAGAGAGAGGGGAUACAGCAUUACAGUUAGUAUUGAUUUAUAACAAUAAUAUUAACUGACGGCACUCAAUGCGCUUAAUUGGCUUGUUGCUACCCUGGACGUGCUAACAUAGGGAACACUGCAGGUUGCUAACAUAGUGAGCACUGGAGGUUGCUAAUAUAGUAAACACUAGAGAUUGCUAACAUAGUAAACACUAAAGGUUGCUAACAUAGUGAACACUGGUGGUUGCUAACAUGGUGAACGCUAGAGGUUGCUAACAUGGUGAAUGCUAGAGGUGGCUAACAUAGUGAACGCUAGAAGUUGGUAACAUGGUGAACGGUAGAGGUUGCUAACAUAGUGAACGCUAGAGGUGGCUAACAUAGUAAACGCUAGAAGUUGGUAACAUGGUGAACGGUAGAGGUUGCUAACAUAGUGAACGCUAGAGGUGGCUAACAUAGUGAACGCUAGAGGUUGCUAACAUAGUGAACGCUAGAGGUGGCUAACAUAGUAAACGCUAGAAGUUGGUAACAUGGUGAACGGUAGAGGUUGCUAACAUAGUGAACGCUAGAGGUGGCUAACAUAGUGAACGCUAGAGGUUGCUAACAUAGUGAACGCUAGAGGUGGCUAACAUAGUAAACGCUAGAAGUUGGUAACAUGGUGAACGGUAGAGGUUGCUAACAUAGUGAACGCUAGAGGUGGCUAACAUAGUAAACGCUAGAAGUUGGUAACAUGGUGAACGGUAGAGGUUGCUAACAUAGUGAACGCUAGAGGUGGCUAACAUAGUGAACGCUAGAGGUUGCUAACAUAGUGAACGCUAGAGGUGGCUAACAUAGUGAACGCUAGAGGUUGCUAACAUAGUAAACACUUGAGGUUGCUAACAUAGUGAACGCUAGAGGUUGCUAACUUAGUGAACGCUAGAGGUUGCUAACAUAGUAAACGGUAGAGGCUGCUAACAUAGUAAACACUAGAGGUUGCUAACAUAGUAAACGGUAGAGGCUGCUAACAUAGUAAACACUAGAGGUUGCUAACAUAGUAAACGGUAGAGGCUGCUAACAUAGUAAACACUAGAGGUGGCUAACAUAGUAAACACUAGAGGUGGCUAACAUAGUGAACGCUAGAGGUGGCUAACAUAGUAAACGCUAGAAGUUGGUAACAUAGUGAACGCUAGAGGUUGCUAACUUAGUGAACACUAGAGGUUGCUAACAUAGUAAACGGUAGAGGCUGCUAACAUAGUAAACACUAGAGGUUGCUAACAUAGUGAACGCUAGAGGUUGCUAAUGCAGCUGGAAAUUUUCACAGUUCAAAAUGUCCAAUCUGAGCUCAGUUUAUCAGUGUGAUCCCGCUUAUUGGCAGUUCAGUGUAGUGAAUGAUUUCCAUCCAACACCUGUUUA